CAGUCGCCGCGGUAAUACGAGGGGGGCAAGCGUUGUUCGGAAUUAUUGGGCGUAAAGGGCGCGUAGGCGGUUUGACAAGUUUGGUGUGAAAUCUAUGGGCUCAACCCAUAGCCUGCAUCGAAAACUGUCGGGCUUGAGUAUGGGAGAGGUGAGUGAAAUUUCCGGUGUAGCGGUGAAAUGCGUAGAUAUCGGAAGGAACACCUGUGGCGAAAGCGGCUCACUGGACCAUUACUGACGCUGAGGCGCGAAAGCUAGGGGAGCAAACAGGAUUAGAUACCCCCGUAGUCCCUGUCUCUUAUAC
This 301-nucleotide ribosomal RNA is filed under the name uncultured bacterium. Its description in RNAcentral is "partial 16S ribosomal RNA". It matches the Rfam family "Bacterial small subunit ribosomal RNA", at positions 509 to 807 of the family's 1533-position model. The record is from RNAcentral.